RNAcentral lists this non-coding RNA (29 nucleotides) under Mus musculus (house mouse). Lineage: Eukaryota; Metazoa; Chordata; Mammalia; Rodentia; Muridae. The record is from RNAcentral.
UGCCCGUGUUCCUGGUUCCAAAGUCAUGU